Molecule: non-coding RNA, 1873 nt
Organism: Manis javanica (Malayan pangolin)
Lineage: Eukaryota; Metazoa; Chordata; Mammalia; Pholidota; Manidae
Source: RefSeq, a predicted model, not a curated record
ACAUGUAUGUAUAUCUUAUUAUUUUAUUUUUAGUAUUAAUAUAUAUUAUAUAUAAUCUGCCAUAUUAUUAUGAAUACAUAUAUAUUUCUUAUAUCUCACACAAGCGCAGGGUAGUUUCUGAAUAAGCGUUUGCUGAAUGAAAGAAAGAAUAGUUCCCACUGACCCCAGAGAAGCCCUUCCCCACAGUUGGGGACUCUUUCAGUCAGGUAAUUAGAGAUAAAGGCCAAGCGAUACAGCUGAAUGAUCGGCACUUCUCCACGCGGGCGGGGCCCUCUUCCCACCCUCACGGAACUAUUAGGAGGCUCUGCUAUGACUCUUGAGCCUGUGCAGAGGAGGCAUGGAAAGGCCUGGCGUGAGUCACUGUUAGAUCAACAUGACCUUGUUCUCUGAAGGGCUCGCAGUGGGGAAACCUAAAAAGGAAGAAAAUCUGUUGGCUGCCAGGGCUCCGGAGCAGAGUCAAGGGCUACAGCCCCUCACCAAGUUUUAGACUUAACACGGUUCCCGAGUGAUGCAAGCCCUCCUGCCUCUUCCCGCACUGCAAUAAUGGCAGGCCCUGGGAAGCAUUGAGAACGCUUUCCUUUAAGGAAAACUAUUCUAAGUGACCCAAGGACGUUUCAGCCUAAACCGUGACAAUCUCUACAAACUGCCCCCGGACCCGGGCGGCCUGGUCGGCCCUUGACAGGGCGGGCUUCUCUCCUGGGCGGCCCCUCCGCAGCAGGGUGCGUGCAAGACGGAAAAGACACCCCGUGCUCUCCACAAUAGGGGCAAUUGUUCUGAGCUGCCACAUUCCAUUAAAUGUUUACCUUUUUGUUUCACAAUCUCACAGGAAAUGAGGGGCCAAGGAUUUUUGACUCCCAUAUUCCCCUCUGGUCAAGACUAAAGGAGAUGAGUUGUUUUUCUAGUUGCUCAAAAAGGGACUGGUAACAAGCAGGAAAUUAGCACGUAGCUAAAGACGCUGGAUCACAACUUUUGGGUUUCAACCAAAUUCUCCAGCAAUUGCUUGAAAUGCGUCAUAGGAAUGGCGUAACAAUGAGCCUUGGUUAACCUUCUUCUACUCUCGGAUGUCCUUUGGGGACGUUUAGCAAGUGGGGCUGAGCAUCCUACCCAUCCUGCUCUUUGGUCUACUGAGAACCAUCAUGGAUCAAGACAACGCUGGGAGAGAGAGACGGGACAGGCUGCCGUACUUUAAAACUUCAGUGGCAUAGAAUUUCACGACAUUCCAUCCAAGACACCAUCCUGUAGACCAAGCCGUUCUCUGCACCGCCUGAGCUCCUUCCAUGGAGCUGAGCUCUCCCUGCCGUGCUCUCUUAUGCGCCCACCUCGGUCCUGGCCUUCUGCUCUCGGGUCCUACGGUUACUCCAUCUCUCAUCUGCCUCUUCUCAACCUGGUCCCCCUCAAGAUUGUGCCCACCAGCUGCCCAGCCCUCUCCACGACUUCCCCCACAAUAAGAUGAGCAAACAAUUCAAAGCCUCCUGGGCCCCACAACCCCUUCUGUUACCUUCCUGCUUUGCACCCCUUCUCCUCCCGAGCAAUCCACACAUCCUAACUUGGUAACUCCUCAUCCACUUUUUAAUAUUUUUAAAUCUCCCACCCCCCAAAAAGUCGGUGUACCUUCCUUCCCCUCCAACCCAAGCUUCCAUUCCAGACAAUUACUACAAAUGAGCUUUUAACCAACUUCCAAUGAUAGAAAAACAGAAUAUUCCUCUUAUUUAAAUUGUUUCAGUACAGGAAGAAGGAAAGAAAAAGAAGGAAAGGGACAAGAAAAGAAUUGAGGAAAAAACUGCCCAACUGGUUUAAUGAAAUUAAUAUAAGUGAUUCCCUGAAUCUGAAAACUGGAUGAGGACAUUAAAAGAAAAAAAAAAAAAAGGCAGGC